Molecule: unclassified non-coding RNA, 322 nt
Filed under: uncultured Gaiellales bacterium
Lineage: Bacteria; Bacillati; Actinomycetota; Thermoleophilia; Gaiellales
Description: contains 16S-23S intergenic spacer region
Rfam family: Bacterial small subunit ribosomal RNA
Source: RNAcentral
GGGGAGUACGUUCGCAAGAAUGAAACUCAAAGGAAUUGACGGGGGCCCGCACAAGCAGCGGAGCGUGUGGUUUAAUUCGACGCAACGCGAAGGACCUUACCUGGGCUUGACAUGCACAGGAAUGUCGUGGAAACACGGCAGCCCUUCGGGGCCUGUGCACAGGUGGUGCAUGGCUGUCGUCAGCUCGUGUCGUGAGAUGCUGGGUUAAGUCCCGCAACGAGCGCAACCCCUGUCCCUAGUUGCCAGCGAGUUAUGUCGGGGACUCUAGGGAGACUGCCGGUGACAAAUCGGAGGAAGGUGGGGAUGACGUAGCUAAGCCUUC